AGAGAUCCGCCUGGCUCUGCCUCCCGAGUGCUGGGAUUAAAGGCGUGCGCCACCACCGCCCGGCUAGAUAUACAUUCUUAACAAAAUAUAAGCCUGUGGAUAUUUCAUUGUAAUCUAACAUUAAUCAAAUUAUUCCAGCAAAUGCUUUUUCAAUGCAAUAGAUAAGGACUACUCAGUUUUCUAAGUAUAAAAAUGUUUCUAAGUAGUUUCUCAUGGAGAAUAAGCUAGGUCUUAUUUUUACUUGCAGAAAAAUUACUUAAAGAAAAGAAUUAGAUACUUUUUAUGUUCAUGAAGAAAGAUGAACAGUAAAAAAAGAUUUAAAUUAAUGAUAUAAUUGUAAAAGCAUUGUUUCUUUCCUAUUUAACCUAGGCAAAUUUGUUUAUUUAUAUCUACAAUUAUAUUACAUUCACAUAUACAUCUUGUUAUAGUAGUAUAUAAACUACUUAGUAUUCAUCUUUCAUGUGUUUUUGUUUGUUUUUACAUUAGUAUUCCCACUUUACAAAUUAUAAAAUUAAUAUACUAGUUCUAAUUAAGGUUAUUUAGACACAUUUUGUGUUAAUGAAGAGUCUGUAACUUUAUGUGUUUAUACAUCUUAUAAAUUUAUAUAUUUAUGUAUUUAUACAUCUUCAGUGUAUAAAAUUUUAAAAACUUGUUUUAUUUUUGUAUAUUUUUCAUGUAGGAUUAUUAAAGGUAAACAUCUAGUGUUCCCUCUAAUGUACUGUAAGAAAAAGUAGCCUGUAUGAUAUUAAAGGCAAUAUAAAUUAUACAGUUGGGCUUGAUGAGGAACACUUAUACCAGCACCUGCCAAGAUUAUACCCUGCUACAUACCCAGUUUGAGGCCAGCCAUGAGUCAUAAGACCCUGUGUCAGAAGAAAACAUGAAAGGAAAAAAAAAACACUGAAUACCUUCCUACAAAAUCAGGAGUUAUAAGACUAUGUAAAUUAAUUUGAUAUUUUGGAGUUGGCUACUAAGAUUUUUAUGAUUUCUGAUUCUCAAGCUUAAUUGUUGAAUAUAAAAAUAGCAAAAUGUCAGAUCUGUCAGUGAACAGAUAAGGAUUAUAGCUUAAAGUGAAUGUAAUUUCGUAUUUUAAAUAUCCAUUUUCUGUAGAAAUGGUAUUUGUUGAAUUUUAAUUGAAGAAAUGUACAAUUGACAUACAUGUAGAUAUAUUUUAGUUGUUCCAAUUAAAGUGGAUAAAUAAGAAAAUGUUAAUUUCACAUAGGUAAUCAGUCUGAAAGUUAAUACUUCUGUAUUACGAUGUAUGUUAUUUUCCAGUAAUGAUUGAGGAUUUGUUCAAGUAAUUUAAACAGUGUAUUCAUGUUUGAAAUUGUCACAUGAGAACAUCUAGAACGAAUGAACAAUUUAUGCAAACAGAAAACAUGUUCAGGAAGAAUGUUAAAGUUUUAACACUCCAAAAUAGAAAGGAGUAAGAUCACUUCUAUCUGCCUUUGUAUUUUAUAAUGGCCUUUGCAAAUAAGCAACUAAAAAACAAGAAAGAGACAAUUUAUGCCUGUAUCUUUGAUUGACAACAUCAUGGGAGUAAUGGGUUGCCAUAGCCAACUUUCUAUUCCUAGCAGCCCUUAUGAAUGGUUUUUGAACAUUUUUGUGAAGAAUUUUAGACACUCCAGCACCUUAUGUGUCAACAAUGAGUUUUGCAUUAUCCAAUGAUAAAAAGGAGAAGAUGAAAAUUCACGUAAUUAUGAUGACAGACUUAUUAAACCUACUGUGAUAGCAACUUAUGGAGUCUACGAAAAUUUACUAAAGUGAGCUGCAAACUAUAGAAAGAACACAUGAUAAAAGUGGAGAUAAAUUGCUUAGCAGUUAAAAGUGAUCACCAAAAUAGAUAAUCAUUGUAUCUACAACCUUCCUAAUUGUAAAAAGAUCUCAGAAGGUGUUGCGUGACUAAUCUUAUUGGUCAUUAAAAUUGAACUCGGCUUAUUGGAUGGAGACUGAAAUAAUGUCUUUGAAGAAAAUAUUUUAUAUAUAUUUAAAGACUUUCAUUGAUUUUGUUGGACUAACUCAAGAAAUGGAGACACUACCACAUGGAUAAAAAUAGUAUGAUGGAACUGACAUUGGCUUCAUCACAGUGUUUUCAUAAGUACGAAGUGCUUCUCAUGAUAGUAAUGACUUCAUGUUAAUCUUGAAGUUGAUUUGAAGUAAAUUAGAACUGAUUAUAAAUUUUCAUUUUCAAAUGGUUUAACUGUGUAGCACAGUCUGACAUUUGAACUCCCUUUGCCUCAGGUGCCUGAGUGGUGAGAUUAUAGAAAUGGACCAUGUGCUAAGUUAGAACAGUGUUUUAUGAAGCUUUAUAUUACAUUUAAAAUUCAUCCUAAUUUUAACAUACAGUGUUAACCAAAGUU
Long non-coding RNA from Peromyscus eremicus (cactus mouse), 2357 nucleotides. RefSeq lists it as uncharacterized. The record is from RefSeq and is a predicted model, not a curated record. The transcript is spliced from 4 exons. NCBI's taxonomy places the organism in Eukaryota, Metazoa, Chordata, Mammalia, Rodentia, Cricetidae.